Molecule: non-coding RNA, 91 nt
Filed under: Bacillus sp. (in: firmicutes)
Lineage: Bacteria; Bacillati; Bacillota; Bacilli; Caryophanales; Bacillaceae
Also listed under: 1 other name
Description: Bacillus sp. Glycine sequence
Rfam family: Glycine riboswitch aptamer
About the family: This family represents the bacterial glycine riboswitch.
Source: RNAcentral
AUGAAGGCAAGGGGAGAGACCGUAUUUGCGGCACCGAAGGAGCAAAUGGUGAAUCCAUGAAUCUCUCAGGUACAGAGACUCUUGCUGGACG